CCCGCAGUUGGCUGGAUUUGUCCAUUAGUGGCGAUAAAUGCAUCUUAACUGCGGAGA
This 57-nucleotide microRNA precursor is filed under the name Heligmosomoides polygyrus. RNAcentral describes it as "microRNA hpo-mir-232a precursor". Its record names the gene hpo-mir-232a. The record is from miRBase by way of RNAcentral. Lineage: Eukaryota; Metazoa; Nematoda; Chromadorea; Rhabditida; Heligmosomidae.